This is a long non-coding RNA of Chlorocebus sabaeus (green monkey), 1580 nucleotides long. RefSeq lists it as uncharacterized. The record is from RefSeq and is a predicted model, not a curated record. Lineage: Eukaryota; Metazoa; Chordata; Mammalia; Primates; Cercopithecidae.
UGAUUUGUCACUUAAAGAGGGAGGCAGAUCAAGAGCAUCUCUUCCUCCGGCUGCUGAGUCAUCCUGCUCUGGCAGUUAUUUAAACAGAAGCCUCCAGGAGACAUACAAUCAACACUCCUCUCAGACAAUGCCCAGACCUCCAGAAAUCCUGUGUCAAGCCUGGAUUGCCUUAGACAGAAACUCACCCAGCUGGAACUCAUAUGGGACCUUGGCACCAGAGACCACCAAUUCCUCCUUGAAGUUUUCUAACAGCAUCAAUGGUAUUUCUGACUUGGCUUUCUUGUGUUUCUCUCACGUUAACAAAACUGGUUGAGCAUGUGCCACGGGCUACAUGCUGAGCUGCAGGUGCUGUUGAUGAAACUGCCAAAGGAGCUGAAUAUGACUGACAUCUUUGGAAGGAUGAGACUUAGCAUGCCCGUACAGUUGUGUCCAAAUGCUGUCCUUAUCUCCCAAUGGAAAGUGGUCCAUGCCCAACAGAUGCAUCCAAGAAUGGCUGAAGAGCUGUGUAAUGUUGAGCAAGCAAUCUAAUCACCCCACAGAAGAGUUGUGACUUGAAUUAUCCCAGAGUCGGCCCACCUGUUUUCAUAAAGAUCAGUGUAACUUGUCCCCAGGUUCUGCCUCUAUCCUGACGUCCAGUGUUGGAUUCCUCUUCACAUCAACUCCUCUCUGCAGGUUGGGCCAUCAGACCCUACCUCCUUAUUUAUGUUGAGCAAAGGAGAGAGAAUGCCUCUACAGACAACGAAAAAAGUGAAAAAAAAAUCCUUCUCCUCCUUAUAACUUUAGUUAGCUUAACUUUAGUCAGUUUAACUUUAGUCAGUUGCUUAGCUACUAAACAGUAGCUAUUAGGAGGUGGGAAGGAAUACUAUUGUGUAAUCAACUAAGGCUCAUACAGAAGAUUAGGGUUAUCUGGAAUGAUUCGAAUUCAUUAGAAUUUACUCUCAGAGCUGUGGCAAUUCCUUGAACCACAUUGAUUGCUAUAAGGUGGAAGAGGAAUAGAUUGAAUUUUGGGGAGUCAACUACAAUGUGUACUACAGGUAAAUACUAUGAAUUUCCAAUUCACAGAUGAGAAAAUUGAGGCAUGUGCUGGGAGGAAGGUUAUGUAAUUUGCCCAGUAUCACAAUUGAACCUAGGCAAAAGCCUAUCUCCAGGUCUAACAAUUCAGUGACCUCCUGUGUACAUUUCUGUCUCUCCGUUUUUUAGAGUCGGGGUCUCACUGGGCCACCCAGGCUGGAUUGCAGUGGCUUGAUCAUGGAGAUCAUGGCUUUCUGUAGCCUUGAACUCCUGGGCUCAAGUGAUCUUCCUGCCUCAGCUUCCCGAGUAGCUGGGACUACAGGCUUGACAACACACCCGGCUAUCCUGUGUACAUUUCUUGAGAGCUUAUAAUAUAUAAGAGAAACUCUAAAAUAAGGGGAGGGUGUGCUAAGGGGAAGACCAAAUCACUAUCGAGGUGGAUUCAAUCCUACCUCUUCUAUUUCCUAGUUGUGUGACUCUUUUGAAAGGGGAAUAAUAGGCCGGGCACGGUGGCUCCUGCCUGUAAUCCCAGCACUUUGGGAGGCCCAGGCGGGCAGAUCACCUGAGGU